CUUCAAGGACCCAGCAUUCAUUGUAGGACUCACUGUCUUCAACAACAACAGAAAAUAAAGGCAAAUCUCACUGUCUGUGAAACGGUCUCUUCAAUAAAGCAGCCCAAUCCAGAAAGAUCAAGCCACCUGAAGAAGAUACUGCAAGGCAAGAUGCCAAAUGAUCUAAACUCAUUGCACAAGAGGAGGAGGCAAAUUAUAAGUAUUGCUUCAUAUUAUGUUAAAAUUCCUGAAAUCUAAGGAUCGCAAGCAACUUUAAGAAGAGCAUCUUUUAACAGAGUUCAUUUCAUUCAUUUGUAAGAUGAGAAAUAGACGUGAAAUAGGCAAUGAACACAAAGUAACAAGUGACAUAAGAAACUUCAACAGAAUUGCCAGGUCUGCAGUGAUAUAGGCCUGCAACUCUAACAAAGGUUUAUUAAAGGUGAUCUUUUCCACUUUUAAUUAUGAAUAUUUAUGACUUAGACUCAUCUGAUUAAGAAUUUUACACAUUUAAUGUUGACAUAAAAUUCUGACCAACAUUUUGACAUUUCUGUGGAAUAUUACAUUAUGAGAGUGAUUUGAGUCAUUUUUAAUCACAUGUUUUAUAAUGACUAGCAAUAAUAUUAAUAAAUGCUUCGAGACUUACAAAAAGGCCUGCCCUUUGACAACAAGGAAACAGACAAUAUCCAUAUGGAGCUGAGGAAAAUACCACAACAGUAAGAGCAGAAUCAUUUUAAAUACUAAAAAUAUCCCAUAUAACACAGCUCAAUUUCAAAAGUAGGAAUAUUUACUUAUGAAAAGUAUGUCUUCAUAGACUUACAAAAGCAGGGAGUUUUUCCUUAUUUUUUUUUUGAAUAAAAAGGAAAGUUACAAUAGCAUAGGAUUGUUUUUAUACACAACACAGUUGCUAAGAUACAAAUGAAGACAGACUAUAACUGUAUGUGUAUCCUCC
This 928-nucleotide long non-coding RNA is filed under the name Mustela putorius furo (domestic ferret). Its description in RNAcentral is "lncRNA (ENSMPUG00000028738.1)". The record is from RNAcentral. Lineage: Eukaryota; Metazoa; Chordata; Mammalia; Carnivora; Mustelidae.